UUAGAGGAAGUAAAAGUCGUAACAAGGUUUCCGUAGGUGAACCUGCGGAAGGAUCAUUAUUGAAAUUAAACCUGAUAAGUUGUUGCUGGUUCUCUAGGGAGCAUGUGCACACUUGUCAUCUUUGUAUUUCCACCUGUGCACUUUUUGUAGACCUGAGUAUCUCUCUGAAUGCUUAGCCAUUCAGGAAUGAGGAUUGACUUUCAGUCUCUUCCUUACAUUUUCAAGUCUAUGUUUCUUCAUAUACCCUAUGUAUGUUUAUAGAGUGUUGUUAAUGGGCUUUUGUGCCUAUAAACCUAUACAACUUUCAGCAACGGAUCUCUUGGCUCUCGCAUCGAUGAAGAACGCAGCGAAAUGCGAUAAGUAAUGUGAAUUGCAGAAUUCAGUGAAUCAUCGAAUCUUUGAACGCACCUUGCGCUCCUUGGUAUUCCGAGGAGCAUGCCUGUUUGAGUGUCAUUAAUAUAUAUCAACCUCUUUGGUUGGAUGUGGGUUUGCUGGCCUCUUCAGGUCAGCUCCCCUUAAAUGCAUUAGCGGACAACAUUUUUUGCCAACCGUUCAUUGGUGUGAUAAUUAUCUACGCUAUUGACGUGAAGCAAGGUUCAGCUUCUAACAGUCCAUUGACUUGGACAAAUUUCUUUUUAUUAAUGUGACCUCAAAUCAGGUAGGACUACCCGCUGAACUUAAGCAUAUCAAU
This 691-nucleotide ribosomal RNA is filed under the name Calonarius oliveopetasatus. Its description in RNAcentral is "eukaryotic LSU rRNA". The stretch from base 300 to 453 matches the Rfam family "5.8S ribosomal RNA". Lineage: Eukaryota; Fungi; Basidiomycota; Agaricomycetes; Agaricales; Cortinariaceae. The record is from RNAcentral.